RNAcentral lists this long non-coding RNA (3117 nucleotides) under Brassica rapa (field mustard). Its description in RNAcentral is "long non-coding RNA (BRAP_LNC005411)". The record is from RNAcentral. Lineage: Eukaryota; Viridiplantae; Streptophyta; Magnoliopsida; Brassicales; Brassicaceae.
GUAGCUACAUACAAAUCAAAGCUUCAGAGUUCCAAAGGAGAACUCAACACGAUGCUAUGGAGCAGUCCUGUCUUCUUCUUUCUACUGUUUUUAUUCGGGGCGUGGCAUUUCUUUGCUAAGAAGAAAGAGUCUCUCACAGCUUGGGGACCUGACGAUCCUUUCACAUCUUCCUCUUCUUCUGCUUCUUUCUCUGAGCCAUCUAGGAGAAACAAUGAUGAUCUCAUGGAUCUUAGGAGAAGAUAUGUUUCUCCAUCUCGGUACCCUCCUGGAGCUGCAGCUGGUACUUAUAGGUCGGUUGCCUCUAAUGACCCGACCACGAGAGGUUCGGUUGAUAGUACAAACUAUAGAGCAACAGGGCAGGGGAUGAAGUAUCGUGGUGUGACAGGGCUUGAUUCUUCAGGUGGUGGUGGGUUUGGUAAUAGAAGAGAGAGUUUGUUUGGUAAUAAUAACAAAGCUUUAGACAACGAAAGUUAAGGGCCUUUUUUAACGUUUUGCCACUUUUUUUUUGUUACCGGUUAACGCUUGAAGUUUUUUUUGUAUUUUGUAACACUCCGGCGAGAAAAAAUAAAUGUUUUACCGGUAGCUUUUGUUUCUCCGGACACUUCUUGUUUAGUCAAACUCUUGUAGAUUUGAAUCGUUAUGUAAUUUUUUCUUGUGGUCAAGAUCAGGAUCAGACUGAAAAUGAUACAUUUUUUAAUAUAUAUAUUAUAGUGUUUCAAGAUCCAGAUGUCUUACAAGACCUCAAGACAGUAAGUCCUUUAGGCAAUGUGACACUGAUUCUUAACAAGACAUAUUUUCAGGAGUUGAUGUUGUUUCAACUCCUGAAAAUGUGUCGGAAAUCUUUUUUUCUACCCGCCAACGAUGACACUCAGGAAAGCUCAGCUCGGGAACUCAACUCUAUCUAUCACUCAUCGCGAUGCACCAUAACAGAGAGACUGACACAGGGAGACAACGCAGAGGAGUUUAAUCCGCGUAGGUUUGAAAUUUGGGCACACCAAGAAAGAAUCAGCUCAGCUUGUGCCGUUUGGGUUAGGGCCUAGUACUUGUGUCGGACAGAAUCUUGGAGUGUCUGAAAACCGAGAAGGUUCUGGCUACGAUCUUUGAGGCAUUACAGUUUCAGGUUGUCUCGGUUUAAUAUACUUGGGUUAGGUACUUUCGAGUUUCGAUUUCGUUACCUCGGUUUAUUAUAUAGGUUCUUCCCUUUAUUGAAAGGGUAAAAUAGUAAAAGCACGUAACUAUUAAGCGCAUCAAUCAAACAUCUUCUAUCUUCCUCCCAAACCUACCCACAAACUCCAAGGGCCGCAAGACUCUGCAGCUCUCCUCGAACGUCUCCUCUCCUUACAAAAUGGAAUUAGGGAAAUCGAAAAGGCACGGCUAGUGAACAAAUGUCGAGCAAACUUUUCUAAUUCCAGAAAGUAACACAAAGCUUCUCUUGCUUCUUCCUCUUUUCUUUUUUUCAUAAAUGCAUUACUAUUUUUAACCCCUCCACGUUCUCAGAUUCGAGUCUCACGCGUCUUUCUUCUUUUCCUUAGCUUUUAGUCCCACAAGAAUCUCAUAUCUGUUUUCAUCCUAAGAGAUGUGGUCGGCGGUGGGUGCUUUGAGGCGUACGGCCGCCAGUAAAAGUUGUCCGAUAAGGUCGUCAUGGCUCGGCGGUGGUUACAGAUGUCUCACAGUGGAACCAACGGAGGAGAUAACUGUAACGGAAGCGAAGAAGCUAAUGAGGUUAGUGAACGUUGAUGAGAUGAAGAAGAAGCUCGGUUGUAUGGGGAAUGAUGAAACUGUCUCUUACACUAAACUCAUUGAGGCAUCUCAAGGUUUUGGUAUCGCUAGAUCUCUCCACGAAGCUCAUGCCUUCGCUCGUAUCCUCGAUGAUGCUGGUGUCAUUUUGAUUUUCCGUGAUAAAGUCUAUCUUCAUCCAGAUAAGGUCUGCUGCAAUCUCAUGUUUUGUCUUGGAAAAAAAAAACUCAUUGUGUUUGUCUGAAAUCGAUCUUUGUCUUGUGGGUUUUGUUAUAGGUGGUGGAGUUGAUUAGAAAGGCAGUGCCUUUAGGUUUGAAUCCAGAGGAUGAUCCAGCUAAAGUCGAGUUCGAUAAGCUUAGGAGAAUGAAGGAAGAGAUUGAUGUGUUGGCACAUAAGCAAGUGAGGAAGAUUCUGUGGUGUGGUCUUGGCUACUCUGUGGUUCAGAUCGGACUCUUCUUCAGGCUAACCUUCUGGGAGUUUUCAUGGGAUGUGAUGGAGCCCAUUACCUUCUUCACUACAGCCACUGGCAUUAUUGUUGGUUACGGUUAUUUCUUGAUGACUUCCAGGGACCCAACUUAUCAAGAUUUCAUGAAGAGGUUGUUUCUUUCUAGGCAGAGGAAGUUGCUCAAGAGUCGCAAGUUUGAUGUUGAGAGGUUUAAGGAACUUGAGAAGAAGUCGAAGAUGACGUCUUGCUCUUCGUAUCAUUCGUGCCACGCGAACGCAGCUAUUCGGAAGUGUGUUGGAGUUGAUCUUGAUUUAGAGGAUUCUUUGCAUAGUCGCAGCGACUGAUUCAUUCGGUUUCUGGUUUUCUAACCAUUAUUCACUUUUGGUUUUAUAUGCUAUAACCAAUGUCUCUCGAGGCUUCUUCAUGUUUGAUUCCUUGUUGUUUACAAAAAAAGAAUCCAAUGGGUGUUUAGUUUUGCACUAGUCAAUGGAGAUUGAGAAUUUUUAUUUGAUAAUCUUGAGCUCUAAAAUCAGUAAUAUGGAAUUUGUUGAUUAUUGAAUCUACCGAACAAUAACGUUUCUUAGUUUAAGUUUGUUUUCCGUUGUUAAUCCUUGAUUAAAGUUUCCGAGGGUCCAACGUUUCUUAGUUUAAGUUUCUUAUUUUAUGGAUGGUUUGGAAGUGACGUUACUAGAAGUGCAUCACGUGGGUCGUGUUAGGUACAUAUUAGCAACUGAUCUCACAGCUUGGGGACCUGACGAUCCUUUCACAUCUUCCUCUUCUUCUGCUUCUUUCUCUGAGCCAUCUAGGAGAAACAACGAUGAUCUCAUGGAUCUUAGGAGAAGAUAUGUUUCUCCAUCUCGGUACCCUCCUGGAGCUGCAGCUGGUACUACAGGUCAGUUGCCUCUAAUGACCCGACCACGAGAGGUUCGGUUGAU